GUCGAGGGGUAUAGGUUUUCGGACCUAGAGACCGGCGCACGGGUGCGUAACGCGUAUGCAAUCUACCUUUUACAGAGGGAUAGCCCAGAGAAAUUUGGAUUAAUACCUCAUAGUAUAAUGACUCGGCCUCGAGAUAUUAUUAAAGUCACAACGGUAAAAGAUGAGCAUGCGUCCCAUUAGCUUGUUGGUAAGGUAACGGCUUACCAAGGCAACGAUGGGUAGGGGUCCUGAGAGGGAGAUCCCCCACACUGGUACUGAGACACGGACCAGACUCCUACGGGAGGCAGCAGUGAGGAAUAUUGGUCAAUGGGCGCAAGCCUGAACCAGCCAUGCCGCGUGCAGGAUGAACCAUCUAUGGUGUGUAAACUGCUUUUG
RNAcentral lists this ribosomal RNA (375 nucleotides) under uncultured Bacteroidota bacterium. Its description in RNAcentral is "bacterial SSU rRNA". It matches the Rfam family "Bacterial small subunit ribosomal RNA", at positions 61 to 438 of the family's 1533-position model. Lineage: Bacteria; Pseudomonadati; Bacteroidota. The record is from RNAcentral.